Molecule: signal recognition particle RNA, 97 nt
Filed under: Solimonas fluminis
Lineage: Bacteria; Pseudomonadati; Pseudomonadota; Gammaproteobacteria; Nevskiales; Nevskiaceae
Also listed under: 1 other name
Description: Bacterial small signal recognition particle RNA
Rfam family: Bacterial small signal recognition particle RNA
About the family: The signal recognition particle (SRP) is a universally conserved ribonucleoprotein involved in the co-translational targeting of proteins to membranes. Archaeal SRP consists of a 7S RNA and homologues of the eukaryotic SRP19 and SRP54 proteins. In most bacteria, the SRP consists of a 4.5S RNA and the Ffh protein (a homologue of the eukaryotic SRP54 protein).
Source: Rfam by way of RNAcentral
GUGCCGGCCCUCCGCGACGGCAAGCCGUGAACCCCGCCAGGCCCGGAAGGGAGCAACGGCAGCGGUGUCGCUGGGUGCCGGAGUCAGCUGGUACGGG